This is a long non-coding RNA of Telopea speciosissima, 123 nucleotides long. RefSeq lists it as uncharacterized. The record is from RefSeq and is a predicted model, not a curated record. The transcript has 2 exons. NCBI's taxonomy places the organism in Eukaryota, Viridiplantae, Streptophyta, Magnoliopsida, Proteales, Proteaceae.
CUGCUCCGAAGGACUCAUCCUCAUAUCUUUUGGUGUUUUAAGGCCUUUUUGUGUUCGAGAAUCGCAAGAUGUCAAAAGCAGGAGCAUUGGAUCUGGCUUUUGGAGUUGGCGGAAAUAUUAAGA